RNAcentral lists this ribosomal RNA (372 nucleotides) under uncultured organism. RNAcentral describes it as "bacterial SSU rRNA". It matches the Rfam family "Bacterial small subunit ribosomal RNA", at positions 526 to 896 of the family's 1533-position model. The record is from RNAcentral.
CAGAGGGGGCAAGCGUUGUUCGGAAUUACUGGGCGUAAAGGGCGCGUAGGCGGCCUGCUAAGUCGAACGUGAAAUCCCUGGGCUCAACCCAGGAACUGCGUCCGAUACUGGUUGGCUUGAAUUCGGGAGAGGGAUGUGGAAUUCCAGGUGUAGCGGUGAAAUGCGUAGAUAUCUGGAGGAACACCGGUGGCGAAGGCGGCAUCCUGGACCGAUGUUGACGCUGAUGCGCGAAAGCCAGGGGAGCAAACGGGAUUAGAUACCCCGGUAGUCCUGGCCCUAAACGAUGAAUGCUUGGCGUGGCGGGUAUCGAUCCCUGCCGUGCCGAAGCUAACGCAUUAAGCAUUCCGCCUGGGGAGUACGGUCGCAAGGCUG